Molecule: ribosomal RNA, 253 nt
Filed under: uncultured bacterium
Lineage: Bacteria
Description: partial 16S ribosomal RNA
Rfam family: Bacterial small subunit ribosomal RNA
Source: RNAcentral
UACGUAGGGACCGAGCGUUGUCCGGAUUCAUUGGGCGUAAAGAGCUCGUAGGCGGUUUGUCGCGUCUGCUGUGAAAACUCGGGGCUUAACUCCGGGCCUGCAGUGGGUACGGGCAGACUAGAGUGCGGUAGGGGAGACUGGAAUUCCUGGUGUAGCGGUGAAAUGCGCAGAUAUCAGGAGGAACACCGGUGGCGAAGGCGGGUCUCUGGGCCGUAACUGACGCUGAGGAGCGAAAGCGUGGGGAGCGAACAGG